Long non-coding RNA from Bactrocera neohumeralis, 282 nucleotides. RefSeq lists it as uncharacterized. The record is from RefSeq and is a predicted model, not a curated record. The transcript has 3 exons. NCBI's taxonomy places the organism in Eukaryota, Metazoa, Arthropoda, Insecta, Diptera, Tephritidae.
UAAACGGCCUUUGCUAUGUUGCUGAUAAAUACAUUUUCGUUAUCAGUCAUUAGAUGUUUUGCAUUUGGAUACACUUGUAGGAAUGCCGAAAUCUUGUGUGUGCAGAUGUGCGGCAGCUGAGUCCUUCUAUAAAUUCCCAUCGGAACGAGAAUUAGCAAGGCAGCCUUUCCACCAAUACAAACUACCCAAGUGAAGUGGUUAUGUUUUUUUUCGGGAUGUCCUACGGAAUACAGUUUUAGUUAAGAACUUUUUUUAAGUGUAAUGAAAACUAUAUUAGUUUUC